RNAcentral lists this ribosomal RNA (253 nucleotides) under uncultured bacterium. RNAcentral's name for it is "partial 16S ribosomal RNA". It matches the Rfam family "Bacterial small subunit ribosomal RNA", at positions 524 to 776 of the family's 1533-position model. The record is from RNAcentral.
UACGUAGGGUGCAAGCGUUGUCCGGAAUUAUUGGGCGUAAAGAGCUCGUAGGCGGUCUGUCGCGUCGGCUGUGAAAACCCGGAGCUCAACUCCGGAUCUGCGGUGGGUACGGGCAGACUAGAGUGAUGUAAGGGAGACUGGAAUUCCUGGUGUAGCGGUGAAAUGCGCAGAUAUCAGGAGGAACACCGAUGGCGAAGGCAGGUCUCUGGGCAUUAACUGACGCUGAGGAGCGAAAGCAUGGGGAGCGAACAGG